GACGAACGCUGGCGGCGUGCUUAACACAUGCAAGUCGAACGGGAUGGCCGGGCUUUGGUGUGUUGCUCGGGUGGCGAGCGGGUUAGUAGCGCGUGAGUGACCAGCCCGUGACUUUGGUAUAACUUCCGGCAGCUGAAGCUCAUGCCAGAUAGGCGCUCCUGCUGCGUGGUGGGGGCUGUAGCGUUGCGGCGGUUGGGGAUGGAGUAGGGGCUUAUGAGCUUGUUGGUGGGGUAGUGGCUUACCUAGGCUUUGACGGGUAGCCGGCAGGAGUGGGUGGCCGGCCAGAUUGGGACUGAGAUACGGCCCAGAGUCCUAAGGGAGGCAGCAGUGGCGAAUAUUGCACGAUGGGAGGAAGCCUGAUGCAGCAACGCCGUGGGGGGGAUGACGGCUUUCGGGUGGUAGAACGCUUUCGCCUGUGACGAAGCGUGGGUGGCGGUAAUGGGUAAAGAAGCACCGGCUAACUACGUG
Molecule: ribosomal RNA, 468 nt
Filed under: uncultured bacterium
Lineage: Bacteria
Description: partial 16S ribosomal RNA
Rfam family: Bacterial small subunit ribosomal RNA
Source: RNAcentral